This 335-nucleotide long non-coding RNA is filed under the name Theobroma cacao (cacao). RNAcentral's name for it is "long non-coding RNA (TCAC_LNC003283)". The record is from RNAcentral. Lineage: Eukaryota; Viridiplantae; Streptophyta; Magnoliopsida; Malvales; Malvaceae.
UAAUAUUCUUUAAAAUGGAAAUCAUACAAAAUGGGCCAAAAAACAAAUCCACAAAAUGGUUAGGGAUUUACCUUGGUGGGCUAAAAGCGGCCCAAAUGGCCAACCAACUACUAGAAGCCCGCGGAUCCUGCUCCCCAAAACGCACCGUGUUAGUCUCCUGCCCAAUAGCCUCCUACUGCCCAAAACGACGUCGUUUAGUGCUUCAGCCAUAGCUAUUUAAACUUCUUUUCUUUUCUCCCUUUUCAUUUUCCCCUCUUACUUUCUCUCUCUACCCACCGGAUCUCUCUCCCUUCUCUCUACCCAAGCCCCCGACCACUCUCUCUCCUCUCUUUCCU